This 305-nucleotide ribosomal RNA is filed under the name uncultured bacterium. RNAcentral describes it as "partial 16S ribosomal RNA". It matches the Rfam family "Bacterial small subunit ribosomal RNA", at positions 505 to 809 of the family's 1533-position model. The record is from RNAcentral.
ACAGCAGUCGCCACGGUAAUACGGAGGGAGCUAGCGUUGUUCGGAAUUACUGGGCGUAAAGCGCGCGUAGGCGGUUACUCAAGUCAGAGGUGAAAGCCCGGGGCUCAACCCCGGAACUGCCUUUGAAACUAGGUGACUAGAAUCUUGGAGAGGUCAGUGGAAUUCCGAGUGUAGAGGUGAAAUUCGUAGAUAUUCGGAAGAACACCAGUGGCGAAGGCGACUGACUGGACAAGUAUUGACGCUGAGGUGCGAAAGCGUGGGGAGCAAACAGGAUUAGAUACCCGUGUAGUCCCUGUCUCUUAUAA